AUGCCCAUCUCCUGGACGAUGGCGUUGGCGAUGUCUUGCGUGGAGGCCCUGAGGUCGCGGUCGAGCCAAGUAACGACGGCGUUCGAGCCGAGGAGCGCCGCCUCCUGGUGCAUGGCCGGCGUGGCGUGGAUCACCGUAAACACCUCGGCCGGCCUCUGCGAGUGGUCGUCGAACCAAGCCAUGGCGCGGGGGAGGGCUUGGGGACAAGGCGGAGCCGCUAGAGGUGCCAGCACAGGCGUCGCACACACGAGGAAGGGGCGACUGGGGCACGCGACAGAGGCGCCCGGGCGGAGCUGUGGAGCAGGCUUGUUGAAGCAGUGCUUUGCUUUGUGCCCGGGUUGGAAGCAACUGCGAUGGGUGAUUGGGUUGCGGCAGUCGGCUUGCCGAUGGCGAGGAAAGAGGCAGCGGAAGCAGAGCCCUUUAAUCCAGUCCGGGACAGGUUGGCGCGGCUUCAAUGGAGCAGCAGGAAAAGCUGGCCGGCGCGGACGACGGGAUGCGACGGUGACCCAGCCGUCCAUCGCCUCGAGCCCCGCGGUUGCCUCCCGCGAUGAAUGCGCACCCAGGGCGCGAGCGCCAUUGCCGCGGACGCGGUCAGCCCAGCUGUCGAAGUUAAUGCGCCUCUCCUGCCCAGCCGCGACAACAUUGAAGGCGAGCGCGUGGCCAGAAGCAGCCUGGCGAGGCGCGGUGAGGAGCGGCUCAGGGGGAUCUCAGGCACACAGGAGAUGUCCCGCGGGUCACGCGCCGGCCCGCCCGGCGGCGGAGGUGGCGUGGCAAACGCCUGAUCCAGAUCCGGAUCCGUUGGAGAACAGCAUGUUCCCCACAGGCGCACGAGACGGGAAAGCCCAAAGCAAAGAGGGCGCGGCGAGGCCAACAAGGUGGCGCCGGGGAGAGCUAGGGUGGGUGGCCAGAGGUGCCGGAGUGGCGACCGCCGGGAAGGGCCGGUGGACUACUGGGACGGGGCUGGGGCUGCCGCACGAGCGGCGGCAUGGACGGGUCAUCUCGUGUUGCUAUUACAAAAUAUCAUUCUGA
This 1029-nucleotide ribosomal RNA is filed under the name Triticum aestivum (bread wheat). RNAcentral describes it as "partial small subunit ribosomal RNA". The record is from RNAcentral. Lineage: Eukaryota; Viridiplantae; Streptophyta; Magnoliopsida; Poales; Poaceae.